This 253-nucleotide ribosomal RNA is filed under the name uncultured bacterium. RNAcentral describes it as "partial 16S ribosomal RNA". It matches the Rfam family "Bacterial small subunit ribosomal RNA", at positions 524 to 776 of the family's 1533-position model. The record is from RNAcentral.
UACGGGGGGGGCAAGCGUUGUUCGGAAUUACUGGGCGUAAAGGGCUCGUAGGUUGCCAACUAAGUCAGACGUGAAAUCCCUCGGCUUAACCGGGGAACUGCGUCUGAUACUGGAUGGCUUGAGUGUGGGAGAGGGAUGCGGAAUUCCAGGUGUAGCGGUGAAAUGCGUAGAUAUCUGGAGGAACACCGGUGGCGAAGGCGGCAUCCUGGACCAUUACUGACACUGAAUAGCGAAAGCCAGGGGAGCAAACGGG